RNAcentral lists this ribosomal RNA (253 nucleotides) under uncultured bacterium. Its description in RNAcentral is "partial 16S ribosomal RNA". It matches the Rfam family "Bacterial small subunit ribosomal RNA", at positions 524 to 776 of the family's 1533-position model. The record is from RNAcentral.
UACAGAGGGGGCAAGCGUUAUUCGGAAUUAUUGGGCGUAAAGGGCGCGUAGGCGGCCUGACAAGUGGAUGGUGAAAUCCCUCGGCUUAACCGAGGAACUGCCUUCCAAACUGCUUGGCUUGAGUCCGGGAGAGGUGAGUGGAAUUCCCAGUGUAGCGGUGAAAUGCGUAGAUAUUGGGAGGAACACCAGUGGCGAAGGCGGCUCACUGGACCGGAACUGACGCUGAUGCGCGAAAGCGUGGGGAGCAAACGGG